This 377-nucleotide ribosomal RNA is filed under the name Albidovulum sp. RNAcentral describes it as "partial 23S ribosomal RNA". It matches the Rfam family "Bacterial large subunit ribosomal RNA", at positions 2543 to 2925 of the family's 2925-position model. The record is from RNAcentral. Lineage: Bacteria; Pseudomonadati; Pseudomonadota; Alphaproteobacteria; Rhodobacterales; Paracoccaceae.
CAUCCUGGGGCUGGAGCAGGUCCCAAGGGUAUGGCUGUUCGCCAUUUAAAGAGGUACGUGAGCUGGGUUUAGAACGUCGUGAGACAGUUCGGUCCCUAUCUGCCGUGGGUGUAGGAGACUUGCGAAGAGUUGCCCCUAGUACGAGAGGACCGGGGUGAACGUUCCACUGGUGGACCAGUUGUCGUGCCAACGGCAGUGCUGGGUAGCUAUGAACGGACAGGAUAACCGCUGAAGGCAUCUAAGCGGGAAGCCCCCUUCAAAACCAGGUCUCCCUUGAGGGCCGUGGAAGACCACCACGUCGAUAGGCCGGAGGUGUAAGCGCAGCAAUGCGUUCAGCUGACCGGUACUAAUUGCCCGACAGGCUUGAUUUGAUCCAG